Molecule: transfer RNA, 67 nt
Filed under: Bothrops diporus
Lineage: Eukaryota; Metazoa; Chordata; Lepidosauria; Squamata; Viperidae
Description: tRNA-Trp
Source: RNAcentral
AGGAACUUAAGUUAUACCCAACUAGGAGCCUUCAAAGCCCCCAAUAAAGCUCACACUUUAGUUUCUG